CAACCAACUUCAAUUUUUCAACCAAUUUUUCAACCAAUUUCAAAAACGCAAAACCAAAUUUUUGUUUACAGAUUUUAUCUUUGCCCCAGAGGAUGUCAGGGCCUGGUUUCAAAGAGUCAGCUUCUAUAGAUCCCUUCCCCAGGCAUGAGAACCACAAGAUACAGACAACUGAGGAAGGAAGGUUUGGAUUUUACUCACGUUUGAUUUCCACCUUGGUCCCUGCGCCGAACGUCCACCACACAUGUGUAUUUUGAUAACAGUAAUAAACUCCCACAUCAUCAGCCUCCACCCUGCUGAUUCUCAGGGUGAAAUCUGUCCCUGAUCCGCUGCCACUGAACCUGUCUGGGACCCCAGUGAAACG
Mustela lutreola (European mink) is the source of this 361-nucleotide long non-coding RNA. RefSeq lists it as uncharacterized. The transcript is spliced from 2 exons. NCBI's taxonomy places the organism in Eukaryota, Metazoa, Chordata, Mammalia, Carnivora, Mustelidae. The record is from RefSeq and is a predicted model, not a curated record.